UGGGGAAUAUUGCACAAUGGGCGAAAGCCUGAUGCAGCAACGCCGCGUGAGUGAUGAAGGCCUUCGGGUUGUAAAGCUCUGUCUUUUGGGACGAUAAUGACGGUACCAAAGGAGGAAGCCACGGCUAACCUACGUGCCAGCAGCCGCGGUAAUACGUAGGUGGCAAGCGUUGUCCGGAUUUACUGGGCGUAAAGGAUGCGUAGGCGGAUUUUUAAGUGAGAUGUGAAAUACCCGGGCUUAACUUGGGUGCUGCAUUUCAAACUGGGAAUCUAGAGUGCGGGAGAGGAGAAUGGAAUUCCUAGUGUAGCGGUGAAAUGCGUAGAGAUUAGGAAGAACACCAGUGGCGAAGGCGAUUCUCUGGACCGUAACUGACGCUGAGGCAUGAAAAGCGUGGGUAGCAAAACAGGAUUAGAUACCCUGGUAGUCCACG
RNAcentral lists this ribosomal RNA (430 nucleotides) under uncultured bacterium. RNAcentral's name for it is "partial 16S ribosomal RNA". It matches the Rfam family "Bacterial small subunit ribosomal RNA", at positions 355 to 799 of the family's 1533-position model. The record is from RNAcentral.